CGCUGCUGCGUCGACUGUUGCUGCUGUGUCGACUGCCGCUACUGUCUCGAUGUACUUCUUAAAGUCAAGUUCGUCGUCGAGUUAGUCGUUGAGUCCGGACAGAUUUAUUCCCAUUUGAGGUACACAACUGUAAUUUUAGCAUUUUGUAAGCUGCAAUGAAGAACGGAAUGUUAAAUUUUUAAUUUAGUUUUUUUUUGUAUUGUAUUUAGAUUAUUCAUGUAUUAUUAUUCUGUCAAUCACUGUCAUUUGGCAUAAUUAGACAUGUUAUAGCGAUAUAUUAAA
Non-coding RNA from Nicotiana tabacum (common tobacco), 282 nucleotides. NCBI's taxonomy places the organism in Eukaryota, Viridiplantae, Streptophyta, Magnoliopsida, Solanales, Solanaceae. The record is from RefSeq and is a predicted model, not a curated record.